This 253-nucleotide ribosomal RNA is filed under the name uncultured bacterium. RNAcentral's name for it is "partial 16S ribosomal RNA". It matches the Rfam family "Bacterial small subunit ribosomal RNA", at positions 524 to 776 of the family's 1533-position model. The record is from RNAcentral.
UACGGGGGGGGCAAGCGUUGUUCGGAAUUACUGGGCGUAAAGGGCUCGUAGGCGGCCAACUAAGUCAUACGUGAAAUCCCUCGGCUUAACCGGGGAACUGCGUCUGAUACUGGAUGGCUUGAGUUCGGGAGAGGGAUGCGGAAUUCCAGGUGUAGCGGUGAAAUGCGCAGAUAUCAGGAGGAACACCGGUGGCGAAGGCGGAUCUCUGGGCCAUUACUGACGCUGAGGAGCGAAAGCGUGGGGAGCGAACAGG